GAAAUAACCGUCAAAGAGUAAGCUUCUAACUUAAUCCUUAAGCAAUAAUAUGUUUUUAUUUCU
This 63-nucleotide transfer RNA is filed under the name Phygasia ornata. RNAcentral's name for it is "tRNA-Ser". Lineage: Eukaryota; Metazoa; Arthropoda; Insecta; Coleoptera; Chrysomelidae. The record is from RNAcentral.